This 423-nucleotide ribosomal RNA is filed under the name uncultured bacterium. RNAcentral's name for it is "partial 16S ribosomal RNA". It matches the Rfam family "Bacterial small subunit ribosomal RNA", at positions 360 to 775 of the family's 1533-position model. The record is from RNAcentral.
AACUUUGGACAAUGGGGGAAACCCUGAUCCAGCCAUCCCGCGGGCAUGAUGAAGGCCUUCGGGUUGAAAAGUACUUUUGGCAGAGAAGAAAAGGUACCUCAUAAUACGAGGUACUGCUGACGGUAUCUGCAGAAUAAGUACCUGCUAACUACGUGCCAGCAGCUGCGGUAAUACGUAAGGUGCAAGCGUUAAUCGGCAUUACUGGGCGUAAAGCGUGUGUAGGCGGUUCGGAAAGAAAGAUGUGAAAUCCCAGGGCUCAACCUUGGAACUGCAUUUUUAACUGCCGAGCUAGAGUAUGUCAGAGGGGGGUAGAAGUCCACGUGUAGCAGUGAAAUGCGUAGAUAUGUGGAGGAAUACCGAUGGCGAAGGCAGCCCCCUGGGAUAAUACUGACGCUCAGACACGAAAGCGUGGGGAGCAAACAG